UACGUAGGGUGCGAGCGUUAAUCGGAAUUACUGGGCGUAAAGCGUGCGCAGGCGGUUGUGCAAGACAGAUGUGAAAUCCCCGGGCUUAACCUGGGAAUGGCAUUUGUGACUGCACGGCUAGAGUGUGUCAGAGGGGGGUAGAAUUCCACGUGUAGCAGUGAAAUGCGUAGAUAUGUGGAGGAAUACCGAUGGCGAAGGCAGCCCCCUGGGAUAACACUGACGCUCAUGCACGAAAGCCAGGGGAGCAAACGGG
RNAcentral lists this ribosomal RNA (253 nucleotides) under uncultured bacterium. RNAcentral's name for it is "partial 16S ribosomal RNA". It matches the Rfam family "Bacterial small subunit ribosomal RNA", at positions 524 to 776 of the family's 1533-position model. The record is from RNAcentral.